This is an RNA transcript of Manihot esculenta (cassava), 1739 nucleotides long. It is a transcript of the gene named cold-regulated 413 plasma membrane protein 2-like, with no coding region annotated. The record is from RefSeq and is a predicted model, not a curated record. The transcript has 5 exons. NCBI's taxonomy places the organism in Eukaryota, Viridiplantae, Streptophyta, Magnoliopsida, Malpighiales, Euphorbiaceae.
AAAAAAGCUUACAUAAACUAAACCCUUAAGUUGCCCAUCCUAAAGUCACAUUCCUCUCUCAACUCUCAACAGAGCCGCCCGCCACCCCCCUACGCCCCUUCUUCUCUCUAUCAGGCGGUCGACGUUCCUCCGCCGCUUUCUCUGGCGUCUUGGUCCUUGUUGCUGUCGUGGCUCUCCUCUGUCGCUUCAUCUGGUCCUUAUUUCUGCGUCCGCUGGUCUAGUCCUUCCGCCGUCCGGUGCUGCUCCUCGCCGCCGUUCCUCAUCCUAAGUCACGUUGCCGCUGCCCCUUGCCACUUUCGUCUACGUCCUCAGUCACUGCAGAUAUUUGCUCAUAUUGGAUCGGACAAACUGGAGAACGAACAUGCUAACCUCACUCCUAGUCCCUUACAUUUUCUUUAGUCUUUCUGCAGCAAUAUUUAAUUUGUUAAGAGGGGAGGUCGGGAAAUGGAUUGCUUUCAUUGCAGUGGUGCUCAGGCUUUUCUUUCCUCGACACUUCCCAGGUAUCAAGUUCAUCUCUUUUUUCAAGCUCUAUUUAGCUUUGCCCUCUCAAAUUUCUUUUUGCCUUGUCCCCUCCAUUUGACUGUUAAUGAGCUGUGUUGCUCAAGAGAACUAGAAUUUCCCAAACUAGUAUGACAAUUUGGGAGAUAAGCAAUUAUCUUUUAACUUUGGUCAAUGUUCACCUCUGUGUAACUUUUGGAGAUGCUUCCUAAAUCUCAAUUAUGAACAAUGAACAUUUACCUAGUGCCCAUACAAUAUUUGUGAGAACAUGCAGAGGUAGUUUUCCAUAUUGGCUUGAUUUUGCUACAGCUAUAACCUAGGUUAUUCGGACUCGAAUAUGAGUGUGAGAAAUAGGUACAUAUUCUGAUAUACAGAAAUAUAGAUCUAAAUUUAGAUAUGGGUAUCGAAAUUAUGAUGAAUAAUAAAUUUAUAUAAAUUUGAAAAAUUUUUAUUCUCAAAAUUAGCAAUCAAUUGUUGUUUAAUUGUUUUAAUUUAUAUAAAUAAAAUAUAUUACACUUAACUUUAAAUUAAUUUUAAUUUUUUAUUAUAAACUUUUUGAAAUGAAGCCUACUGUGAAUGGAUUGGGAGUUGUUUUACGUAAGAUCUUUGAAAUGGGUUUGAAUUGCUAAUGGGAGAUUUCUGAAAUUUGUGGAAAUUCUAAGAUUUAUCUAAAUGUGCUGAGGUUGUAUUUGUGAGAUUUAUUGACAAAAUGUUGAAAUAAAGACUAUUGUGAAUGGUUUAAGAGUUGUUUUUGUGAGAUAGUUAAAAUGGGUUUCUGAAUUUUAUUGAAAUGCUAAUGUGAGGUUUGUGUGAAAUUCUGUUUUGUUUCUGUUGUGUUUAUGAGUUAAUCAGGUUUGGGUAGUAUACUGCUAGUUCUCCUGUCAAUAGUCCCAAGUUAAACAAGAACACAAAACAGAGAGAAAAAAUGGGUGUUAUUUCAUCAUCACCAUCACUGCAGGAGAAAGAAGGAAGAAAGCCGAUCACAGAGCAGAGAAGAGAGAAGAGAGGAUUUGGGUUUAAUUGGGAGCGAAAGUGACAUCACAGAACUGAAGAAAAUGGGUCUUUGUUUAGUUCCUUUGUCUAUGGUUGUGAAUUAUUUUGGUUGAGUUUUAGAUUUUGUUUCUUUCUCUGUCUCUCCAUCCAUCCAUGGAUUUAUUGAUGGAACAUUGAAAAUGGCUUUCUGCAGAAAAAAAAAAUUGUAUAUAUAAUAAGAUUAAGAUCCAUCAUUUUCUGCAGCAGCA